GGAGUUAGCCGGUGCUUCUUCUGUGAGUGAUGUCCUUCCUGCCGGCUAUUAACCCGCAGGCCUUCUUCCUCACUGAAAGUGCUUUACAACCCGAAGGCCUUCUUCACACACGCGGCAUGGAUGGAUCAGGGUUGCCCCCAUUGUCCAAUAUUCCCCACUGCUGCCUCCCGUAGGAGUCUGGGCCGUGUCUCAGUCCCAGUGUGGCUGAUCAUCCUCUCAGACCAGCUACGGAUCGUCGCCUUGGUGAGCCGUUACCUCACCAACCAGCUAAUCCGACAUAGGCUCAUCCGAUAGCGCGAGGCCCGAAGGUCCCCCGCUUUCCCCCGUAGGGCGUAUGCGGUAUUAGCCUGGGUUUCCCCAGGGUUAUCCCCCACUACCGGGCAGAUUCCUAUGCAUUACUCACCCGUCCGCCGCUCGCCACCAGGGAGCAAGCUCCCCGUGCUGCCGCUCGACUUGCAUGUGUUAGGCCUGCCGCCAGCGUUCAAUCUGAGCCAGAAUCGAACCCUGA
Molecule: ribosomal RNA, 508 nt
Filed under: uncultured bacterium
Lineage: Bacteria
Description: partial 16S ribosomal RNA
Source: RNAcentral